GUUGUGAGGGAUGGACGCCUCUCCCCCGGAGCAGCACUUUGGGGCCAGCUUGGGCCCUGGGGAUGAGCCACAGGGGACCCACAGCCUAUGCGUGUGAGCAUGUAACCUGGGAGCCAGCUGGGCCCCUCGCGGGGUGGGCAGAAGGACGGGCUGGCCCAGGACCCUCUUCUUUGAGACAUCCCGGACUCCAUCUCGGAUGAAAGUGCUUUGAGAAACCACAGAGUUUUCUGUUUAAUGGAAGAAAGAAAUCCAGCCUCUCUCCAGAGUGGCGGUGGCCGGCUAGACAGGAGCCAAGGACAUGAAGAACAAGCUGGGGAUCUUCAGACGGCGGAAUGAGUCCCCUGGAGCCCCUCCCGCGGGCAAGGCAGACAAAAUGAUGAAGUCAUUCAAGCCCACCUCAGAGGAAGCCCUCAAGUGGGGCGAGUCCUUGGAGAAGCUGCUGGUUCACAAAUACGGGUUAGCAGUGUUCCAAGCCUUCCUUCGCACUGAGUUCAGCGAGGAGAAUCUGGAGUUCUGGUUGGCUUGUGAGGACUUCAAGAAGGUCAAGUCACAGUCCAAGAUGGCAUCCAAGGCCAAGAAGAUCUUUGCUGAAUACAUCG
This 599-nucleotide small RNA is filed under the name Pan troglodytes (chimpanzee). RNAcentral describes it as "processed transcript". Lineage: Eukaryota; Metazoa; Chordata; Mammalia; Primates; Hominidae. The record is from RNAcentral.